UACCAUUUCGUCAUCGACUGUGAUAUUGUGCGUGAGAGAAUCCAUGUAGCCAACGUUACGCGAUGAAAUGUUAAUUAUAGUUACGGCAAAAUGGAGCCGUCCCUAGCCAUAGUGUACGAUCAUAGAAAACUCCCAAAAAUGUCAAGUGUAUAAAAGUUGUUGGAUUUUAUCAAAACUUUCUGUCUUUUUGUACGAACGUCCAAUGUUGGGCAUAUUCAUUUGUACGUUAGUUCAGAAAUUUAGUGCUACUGGUGUAAACAAUACUCACUUUCAAAUACAACGAAUUCUGUGUCAAUAAAAAUGGCAGCAAUCAUUCAGAUUGUUCGCUUUCAGUAAAAGUUUACAUUUAUAACGCUAAGUCACAUUUCAGAGAUGUGGCAAGCGUUAGAUUCAGUUAAUUCCACCGUUAAUUCUGGGUCUCAACAAGUUGAUCAAUUUGGUACAACAGAGCUUACACCAGAACAGCAGAAAAUUCUUAUUGACAUUCGUCGGAAGAAGACUGAACUUUUACUAGAAAUUCAGCAAUUAAAGGAUGAGCUCGGAGAAGUUGUGGCAGAAAUGGAAGCAAUGGAAGGAGGAGGGUUCUCGAUGGAGGAAUCUAAUAAACCAUCGAACAAAGCAAAGCAAAUGUCGAUUGGGCGUAAAAAAUUUAACAUGGAUCCAAAAAAAGGCAUUGAGUACCUGAUCGAGCAUAAUUUAUUAUCGCCUACACCAGAAGAUGUUUCUCAGUUUCUAUAUAAAGGCGAAGGUCUUAAUAAAACUGCUAUUGGCGAUUAUCUAGGCGAGAGACACGAUUUUAAUGAACGCGUAUUACGAGCAUUUGUUGAACUCCAUGACUUUACAGAUUUAAUUCUUGUUCAAGCUCUUCGUCAGUUUCUUUGGUCAUUUCGAUUGCCAGGGGAAGCUCAAAAAAUUGAUAGAAUGAUGGAAUGUUUUGCACAGAGAUAUUGUCAACUUAAUCCUAAUAUUUUUACAAAUACUGAUACAUGUUAUGUUUUGAGUUUUGCCAUAAUUAUGUUAAAUACUUCAUUACAUAACCCAAGUGUUAAAGAUAAGCCGAGUAUUGAACAAUUUAUUACUAUGAACCGAGGUAUAAACAAUGGGGGAGACUUACCUCGGGAAUUACUUGUUAGUCUUUAUGAGAGUAUAAAAACAGAGCCUUUUAAAAUACCUGAAGACGAUGGGAAUGAUUUAAUGCAUACAUUUUUCAAUCCUGAUAAAGAAGGUUGGCUUUGGAAACAAGGCGGCCGCUAUAAAAGUUGGAAAAGAAGGUGGUUUAUUUUAAAUGAUAAUUGCUUGUAUUAUUUUGAAUAUACUACGGAUAAAGAACCACGAGGAAUAAUUCCUUUAGAAAAUAUUCAAGUUAGAGAAGUUCAAGAUAGACAUAAACCACAUUGCUUCGAAUUGUAUGCAGCAGGUUCUGAAUUCAUUAAAGCUUGCAAAACAGAUAGUGAAGGAAAAGUUGUGGAAGGAAAACAUACUGUAUAUAGAAUGUCUGCUGCAACAGAUGAAGAAAAAGAUGAAUGGAUAAAAUGUCUUAAACAAAGUAUAUCACAUAAUCCGUUUUACGAUAUGCUGGCUGCACGAAAAAAAAAGGCUCAAAAAACCAAUCUUCAUACGAAGAAUUAGAAAAAUAUAUAGAAUUAUAGGAAUAAUUGUUAUUAACGUAAAAAAAUCAAAGUACAAUCCUCUUAGUCAUGCGAUUUCGUCUAAAAAUGUCGAAUGAAAUGGCAUUAAGAUAAGAAUGAGAGGAAGGAAAAGUAGACCAACUCAAACCAUGAAUAAGACUGCGACCUGAGCCGAAAGCGAGGGUAGUAAAAACGUGAUUAGAGAUGAUCUAAUUAUUCUAUCUAGGGUUGAAUGUUUUUUCACCAUAUAUGUGCUGAAAGUUUCACAAAUCUUAUAUAUAACAGUAAACUUUUGGCGGGGAUAUGGUUACAAUAAUUUAACACUUCUUCCUAUGUAAACAUUGAAAUUAAAACGCAUGUUUUGUAAGUUGAUACGUUGCUUUAUGUGUAUAAAAGAUAUUUAUUUUA
RNAcentral lists this unclassified non-coding RNA (2036 nucleotides) under Chelonus insularis. RNAcentral describes it as "cytohesin-1, transcript variant X1". The record is from RNAcentral. Lineage: Eukaryota; Metazoa; Arthropoda; Insecta; Hymenoptera; Braconidae.